Long non-coding RNA from Planococcus citri (citrus mealybug), 2289 nucleotides. RefSeq lists it as uncharacterized. The record is from RefSeq and is a predicted model, not a curated record. The transcript is spliced from 7 exons. Lineage: Eukaryota; Metazoa; Arthropoda; Insecta; Hemiptera; Pseudococcidae.
GAGUGUUUCUCUCGUUUCUUACGUACUCGUGUCGCGUGUGAAUUAUUUCUCGAUUUUGUUUGAUUGUUUAUUGAAAUUUGCUUUUAUGUUAUAUGCAAGUGAUCGUGAAACGUUUAGAAGAGACAGAAGAGUUAACUGGUAGUUCUGCAACUUCGAAAUCUUGCUGAAUACGAAAUUUGGUCGCGCUAGCCAACUGUUGAAUAGGUAUCCCAAAUUCAGUGGAACUGAAAUUUCGAAGUACCGGAAAGAAGAUGAUUAUUUGAAGAGUAAAGCGUGAAUCUAUACAAAAGCUAUUACCGCCACCGCCGGCCGGUGAUAUUCUGCUUACGUGACUUGAUUGAUCUACAUUUUCCACCGAAACGCAGACAAAUGCUCGCAAGAUUUUCCAGUCCAAAUACCGCUGAGCUAUUGACUAUCGAUUAUAAUUUAACGACAGAAAUUCCGAACUAAUGAAUGCAUCGAUUCGAGUCAAUCACUCAAUUUUUCUUCAAGUUACGUAUCCUGCGUUGAAAUUGAAAUGACACACGUAAAUGAAGAAGUUUUAAUUGUUCGUGAACGUGGAUUUCGUUUUGCCGGAAACUAGUUACCAUUAUGCUAUACAUGGAAAUACUUGUUCGAAGAAAUGGCUAUGAUGAGUGACGAGUUAUUGCAUGUACCAGGUGUAAGUCGUAUAUGAUACAAAAUCCAUAUAAUUGAGAAGAAAAAAUGCUCAGCUCUACUUUGGGAAGAUGGAAACCGAAAUUGAUUUUACGACAAUGGAAACUAUCUGCGCCUGUAUUCCUCUACUUGAACUCGUCGCCUAUCUAUGGUAUCAAGGAACGAGCCUGCACUUACACGAUCCAACAAAAAUUAGACGAGCAUAUAAAUGAAAAUCUAGCAACGAAGCAUCAUCCGCUGCGCACAACAUUCUUCGAGAUGGAAAAAACCGCUAAAAAUGUAUUUGCAAAAAAUGAAGAGAAGCGAAAGAAGAAUCAACAAAGACAGCGAAAAAAGCUGAAAAGAAACGGGGCACGAAAAAGACCAAAAAGAAAGAAAGCAUCGCAGAAAACCCGUGGAUAAAAAGGCGAAAAGCUUAUUUUUUGGAUUCUACGGAAGUCAGAAAAUGCAUCACUGAUUCGCUGUCAUGACAAUGAAAGAUACCGCAAAAUUCCGUCGAUUUACCAACAUCUCAGCGACAAUUGUUCCAUAAACCUGGCUGAGAUCAACUACUAAUACCAUAGCGUUUGUCGCGUUUGAAUACAACGAGGGUUUGAAUUUACCGCAGAGUAUAAUAGCGUAUUUUUCGAAACACCCUACGCAGAUUUAAGGUAAGAGAUAGCGGUAUUUGUAUUUUUAUACCUAAGCCGAGUUAUAUAUUUAUUUUAAAGCGCGAUAUCAUAAUAUCGUAUACUUUAUACAAUACACGUAUAAGUAUCGAGAGUAUGAAACACCCUAUUUUGAAAAAACAAAAAAAGAAACAAAACAAAAAAACUAUAAAAGCAGAAAUAAAAAUAGAAAGAAAAAUAUCUACCGAAAGAAAAAAAGAAGAAGAAGAAAAAGCGCAAAAAAUAAAGGGAAAUAAAAAGAUGGAAAGAAAGGAAUAAACGAAUGGAAAGGCAGCAGCUCGCGGAUAAGGUUGAGAAACACCAUCAGCAGAAAUUUAUCGAUAGCAAUAUGCAAAAUGACUGAAAAAACGAUAUCAAUAAAGGAUAAAUAAAAUGAUGAUAUUCCGUUUACUCUUUUUGAAUUUGCGGGGUAAAACGCGAUAACGAUAAAACGAAUUUAACAAAUAGCGUUUUAAAGGAAAAUCGCAGGAAAAAUAUACGACGAUUCGGUUUUGUUUUUCUGUUGCUUUUUUCUCUCGCGCGUUUUUUUCUCCUUCUUCUUCCUCGGUGCUUUUGGUUCAUCUAUAUCGUCCGCCCUUUUGUAUGUUGUAUGUAUUUUUUUCCCCGCACUUAUUCGCAUAUAUUAUACAUUUAUUCGAAUGUGAGCAGGUGAAUAAUACGUGUAGGCUUAUGCGUGAAAGUAAAUUGGUAUAGUUGUGGAAAAUUUUCAAUCCCCCCCCCCUCCUCAAUAGUUGGAUGAGAAAAGGAUGAUUGCUCGAAAAAUUUGUCGUUCAACCUACGUUAUUGAUUUAGUAUAUUGACGAUUUGGGGAUGAAAAAGUAUCGAAGUGGGGCAUCUAUUUUUGCCAAUUUUUAAUACGAAUUGAACAUCGUUGUUAAACAUGUUGUGCUUGUGCGUGUACAAGAAGUACACGAUUUGCGAUUACUGUACAGUGUACAGUGUAUAGCCAAUAGCCAUCGCCACC